Molecule: ribosomal RNA, 1311 nt
Filed under: metagenome
Description: SSU rRNA
Rfam family: Eukaryotic small subunit ribosomal RNA
Source: RNAcentral
AAUACCAUUGGUUGAGACAUUGUCUCAACUAUUUGGAAUGAGAACAAUUUAAACACCUUAACGAGGAACAAAUGGAGGGCAAGUCUGGUGCCAGCAGCCGCGGUAAUUCCAGCUCCAUCAGUGUAUAUUAACGUUGUUGCGGUUAAAAAGCUCGUAGUUGGAUUUCGGAGUGCGAAGGUCAAGGCCCGUCAAUUGGCGUGGUCCGACAGUCGCCUCCUAGCUUAGGGUAACAGCCUCUCUUCCUUUACGGGUUGGGAUGUGCCGUUCCCUAUCGUUUACUUUGAUAAAAUCAGAGUGUUCAAAGCAGGCGUCACUUGCCUUGAAUGUUGCCGCAAGGGAUAAUAGAAUAUGACUUCGGUCUUAUUUUGUUGGUUUCUAGGGCUGAAGUAAUGACUAAUAGGGACAGUUGGGGGCGCUCGUAUUGAGUUGUCAGAGGUGAAAUUCUAGGAUUUACUCAAGACGAACUACUGCGAAAGCAUUCGCCAAGGAUGUUUUCAUUAAUCAAGAACGAAAGUAGGGGGAUCGAAGAUGAUCAGAUACCGUCGUAGUCUCUACCAUAAACUAUGUGGACCAACGAUCCGAGGAAGUUACAUGGAUGACUCUCCGGGCAGUUUGUGAGAAAUCAUAAGUAUUUGCAUUCCGGGGGGAGUAUGGUCGCAAGGCUGAAACUUAAAGGAAUUGACGGAAGGGCACCACCAGGAGUGGAACCUGCGGCUUAAUUUGACUCAACACGGGGAAACUUACCAGGUCCGGACACAGUUAGGAUUGACAGAUUGAGAGCUCUUUCUUGAUUCUGUGGGUGGUGGUGCAUGGCCGUUUUUUAGUUGGUGGAGUGAUUUGUCUGGUUAAUUCCGUUAACGAACGAGACCUUAACCUAUUAAUUAGUUAUACGAACUUGGGCUUCGGUCCUUUCGGUUCGUGGACAACUUCUUAGAGGGACUCUCGGCAUUUCUAGUCGAUGGAAGUUUGAGGCUAAAACAGGUCUGUGAUGCCCUUAGAUGUCCUGGGCCGCACGCGCGUUACACUGACGAAUGCAACGAGUUCUUCCUUCUCCGAUGGGAGUGGGUAAGCUUUUAAAAGUUCGUCGUGAUGGGGAUUGAACCUUGCAAUUAUUGUUCAUGAACGAGGAAUUCCUAGUAAGCGUAGUGCAUCAAACUGCGUUGAUUACGUCCCUGCCCUUUGUACACACCGCCCGUCGCUAGUACCGAUUGAAUGAUCCGGUGAGGAUUCAGGAUGGCAGAGUUUUAGCUUGCCUGAAAGGGUAAGCGGAUUCAGCCAGAAUUUGUUCAAACCGUGUCAUUUAGAGGAACU